UACAGAGGGUGCAAGCGUUAAUCGGAAUUACUGGGCGUAAAGCGCGCGUAGGUGGCUAAGUAAGAUGGGUGUGAAAUCCCCGGGCUCAACCUGGGAACUGCUUUCAUAACUGCUUGGCUAGAGUACGGUAGAGGGUAGUGGAAUUUCCUGUGUAGCGGUGAAAUGCGUAGAUAUAGGAAGGAACACCAGUGGCGAAGGCGACUACCUGGACUGAUACUGACACUGAGGUGCGAAAGCGUGGGGAGCAAACAGGAUUAGAUACCCGUGUA
This 269-nucleotide ribosomal RNA is filed under the name uncultured prokaryote. RNAcentral's name for it is "partial 16S ribosomal RNA". It matches the Rfam family "Bacterial small subunit ribosomal RNA", at positions 524 to 792 of the family's 1533-position model. The record is from RNAcentral.